GACGAACGCUGGCGGCGUGCUUAACACAUGCAAGUCGUACGGUAAGGCCCUUUCGGGGGUACACGAGUGGCGAACGGGUGAGUAACACGUGAGUAACCUGCCCACAACUUUGGGAUAACGCUAGGAAACUGGUGCUAAUACUGGAUAUGUGCUCCUGCUGCAUGGUGGGGGUUGGAAAGCUCCGGCGGUUGUGGAUGGACUCGCGGCCUAUCAGCGUGUUGGUGGGGUAGUGGCCUACCAAGGCGGCGACGGGUAGCCGGCCUGAGAGGGUGACCGGCCACAUUGGGACUGAGAUACGGCCCAGACUCCUACGGGGGGCAGCAGGGGGGAAUAUUGCACAAUGGGCGCAAGCCUGAUGCAGCAACGCCGCGUGCGGGAUGACGGCCUUCGGGUUGUAAACCGCUUUCAGCAGGGACGAAGCUUUUUGUGACGGUACCUGCAGAAGAAGCACCGGCUAACUACGUG
This 465-nucleotide ribosomal RNA is filed under the name uncultured bacterium. RNAcentral's name for it is "partial 16S ribosomal RNA". It matches the Rfam family "Bacterial small subunit ribosomal RNA", at positions 28 to 507 of the family's 1533-position model. The record is from RNAcentral.